UCCCCUCGCUUUCUCCCUCUGCUCCUCCGUCCGCUCCCGUCGGACGGGGACAUUGCAAUGAGGCGGGAUCGCGGCCCUAAGCCGGCCCUGGAUGGAGCUGGCGAGGUGGAACCAGGUGGGAUGGCAGGUGAGAGAGGGGAGCCAGGCCUAGAGGGGUUGGACCUGGUGAAGGAACCAAGUAGGAUGGGGCCGGCAAUUCGGGGACAUCUGAUACCCCGUCCUCUCCGCGGGGCUGUGCCGGGCCCUCCCAGUUGGGGAGCCAGGCACAGCCUCCCAGGAUCGACCCCCAGACUUCGUCCUGGUAAAAUGCCUCCUGGUUGCAGCCUCUCCCACGGGCCGUCCCAGACGGCUCCAACGCUACCUCCAGAGCGGCGAAUUCGACCAGUUUCGGGACUUCCCCAUCUUUGAGAGCAACUUCGUACAGGUGACUCGGUUGGGAGAAGUUGCCAACGAGGUCACCAUGGGGGUGGCAGCCUCCAGUCCAGCCCUGGAGCUCCCGGACCUAUUGCUUCUGGCCGGCCCUGCCAAGGAGAAUGGACACCUGCAACUCUUCGGGUAACUGCCCUCACCUCAGCC
This 576-nucleotide small RNA is filed under the name Pan troglodytes (chimpanzee). RNAcentral describes it as "retained intron". The record is from RNAcentral. Lineage: Eukaryota; Metazoa; Chordata; Mammalia; Primates; Hominidae.